AACGAACGCUGGCGGCAUGCCUAACACAUGCAAGUCGAACGAGACCUUCGGGUCUAGUGGCGCACGGGUGCGUAACGCGUGGGAACCUGCCCUUAGGUUCGGAAUAACUCCCCGAAAGGGGUGCUAAUACCGGAUAAUGUCUUCGGACCAAAGAUUUAUCGCCUUUGGAUGGGCCCGCGUUGGAUUAGCUAGUUGGUAGGGUAAAAGCCUACCAAGGCGACGAUCCAUAGCUGGUCUGAGAGGAUGAUCAGCCACACUGGGACUGAGACACGGCCCAGACUCCUACGGGAGGAAGAAGUGGGGAAUAUUGGACAAUGGGCGAAAGCCUGAUCCAGCAAUGCCGGGUGAGUGAUGAAGGCCUUAGGGUUGUAAAGCUCUUUUACCCGGGAUGAUAAUGACAGUACCGGGAGAAUAAGCUCCGGCUAACUCCGUG
Molecule: ribosomal RNA, 433 nt
Filed under: uncultured bacterium
Lineage: Bacteria
Description: partial 16S ribosomal RNA
Rfam family: Bacterial small subunit ribosomal RNA
Source: RNAcentral